The sequence is a regulatory RNA element, 114 nucleotides long. It matches the Rfam family "SAM-III riboswitch aptamer (SMK box)". The record is from Rfam.
UAAAGUUAUAAGUCCAUUCCCGAUAGGAUUCACGCCUGUGAAGAUGCCUUGUAACCGCAAUUAGAGAUUCAUUUAUUUUGAAUUUCAAACCGCAAAUAGGGGGAAUUUUUUAUG